This 74-nucleotide transfer RNA is filed under the name Candidatus Woesearchaeota archaeon. Its description in RNAcentral is "tRNA-Cys". It matches the Rfam family "tRNA". From Rfam's summary of the family: Transfer RNA (tRNA) molecules are approximately 80 nucleotides in length. Their secondary structure includes four short double-helical elements and three loops (D, anti-codon, and T loops). Lineage: Archaea; Nanobdellati; Candidatus Woesearchaeota. The record is from RNAcentral.
GCAGAGGUACCCAAGCGGCCUAAGGGGAGCGGCUGCAACCCGCUUAUUCGGGAGUUCGAAUCUCCCCCUCUGCU